AGCGAAUAGAUACCCAGGUAGUCCACGCUGUAAACGAUGACGACUAGGUGUGGGGGGGUUCAGUCCCUUCCGUGCCGCAGCUAAACGCAUUAAGUCGUCCGCCUGGGGAGUACGGCCGCAAGGUUGAAACUCAAAGGAAUUGACGGGGGCCCGGCACAAGCGGUGGAGCAUGUGGUUCAAUUCGAUGCAGAGCGAAGAACCUUACCUGGGCUUGACAUGCAGGAAGUAGAAACCGGAAACGGGGACGACCUGUUAAGUCAGGAACCUGCACAGGUGGUGCAUGGCUGUCGUCAGCUCGUGCCGUGAGUGUUGGGUUAAGUCCCGCAACGAGCGCAACCCUCACUCUAUGUUGCCAUCGGGUAAUGCCGGGCACUCUUAGGGAACUGCCGGCGAAGAGCUGGAGGAAGGGGGGGUAUGACGUCAAGUCCGUAUGCCCCUUAUGUCCAGGGCUACACACAUGCUACAAUGGCCGAUACAGAGGGUUCCCAACCCGCAAGGGGUA
RNAcentral lists this ribosomal RNA (502 nucleotides) under uncultured bacterium. RNAcentral's name for it is "bacterial SSU rRNA". It matches the Rfam family "Bacterial small subunit ribosomal RNA", at positions 771 to 1266 of the family's 1533-position model. The record is from RNAcentral.